Molecule: ribosomal RNA, 174 nt
Filed under: uncultured bacterium
Lineage: Bacteria
Description: partial 16S ribosomal RNA
Rfam family: Bacterial small subunit ribosomal RNA
Source: RNAcentral
CGGAGUUGCUAGUAAUCGCGGAUCAGCAUGCCGCGGUGAAUGCGUUCCCGGGCCUUGUACACACCGCCCGUCACACCAUGGAAGUUGGGGGCGCCCGAAGCCAGUGGCCUAACCGCAAGGAGGGAGCUGUCUAAGGUGAAACCAAUGACUGGGGUGAAGUCGUAACAAGGUAAC